This 440-nucleotide ribosomal RNA is filed under the name uncultured bacterium. Its description in RNAcentral is "partial 16S ribosomal RNA". It matches the Rfam family "Bacterial small subunit ribosomal RNA", at positions 338 to 795 of the family's 1533-position model. The record is from RNAcentral.
CCUACGGGUGGCAGCAGUGGGGAAUAUUGCUCAAUGGGCGAAACCCUGAAGCAGCAACGUCGCGUGCAGGAUGACGGCUCUCCGAUUGUUAAACUUCUUUGAUAGGGAAGUAACGCGCGUUACGUGUCGAACUUUGCAUGUCCAAUUUCGAUCAAGCCGGCGUGGUACCACGCCGGGUGCCAGUGUUAUUCGGAAUGACUGGGCGUUAAGGGGGCGUAGGCAGGAUAGCAAGUACGUUGUGCAAUGCUCGGGCUUAACCAGAGAACUGCAGUCGAAACUGGUGUGCUUGAGUAUGGGAAAGGUAGGUGGAAUUCUUGGUGUAGCGGUGAAAUGCUUAGAGAUGACGAAGAAUACUGAUUGCGAAGGCAGCUUGCUGAAGCGGAACUGACGCUGAUGCGCGAAAGCGUGGGUAGCGAACAGGAUUAGAUACCCGAGUAGUC